Molecule: ribosomal RNA, 449 nt
Filed under: uncultured bacterium
Lineage: Bacteria
Description: partial 16S ribosomal RNA
Rfam family: Bacterial small subunit ribosomal RNA
Source: RNAcentral
AACGAACGCUGGCGGCAGGCCUAACACAUGCAAGUCGAGCGAACCCUUCGGGGUUAGCGGCGGACGGGUGAGUAUCGCGUGGGAAUGUGCCCUUCUCUACGGAAUAGCCUCGGGAAACUGAGAGUAAUACCGUAUACGCCCUUUGGGGGAAAGAUUUAUCGGAGAAGGAUCAGCCCGCGUUGGAUUAGGUAGUUGGUGGGGUAAUGGCCUACCAAGCCGACGAUCCAUAGCUGGUUUGAGAGGAUGAUCAGCCACACUGGGACUGAGACACGGCCCAGACUCCUACGGGAGGCAGCAGUGGGGAAUCUUAGACAAUGGGGGCAACCCUGAUCUAGCCAUGCCGCGUGAGUGAUGAAGGCCUUAGGGUUGUAAAGCUCUUUCAGCUGGGAAGAUAAUGACGGUACCAGCAGAAGAAGCCCCGGCUAACUCCGUGCCAGCAGCCGCAGUAA